CUCUGUGACUCCUACGGGAGGCAGCAGUGGGGAAUAUUGCACAAUGGGGGAAACCCUGAUGCAGCCAUGCCGCGUGUGUGAAGAAGGCCUUCGGGUUGUAAAGCACUUUCAGUAGGAGGAAGGUAGUGUAGUUAACACCUGCAUUAUUUGACGUUACCUACAGAAGAAGCACCGGCUAACUCCGUGCCAGCAGCCGCGGUAAUACGGAGGGUGCGAGCGUUAAUCGGAAUUACUGGGCGUAAAGCGCAUGCAGGCGGCCUGUUAAGUCAGAUGUGAAAGCCCGGGGCUUAACCUCGGAAUUGCAUUUGAAACUGGCAGGCUAGAGUCUUGUAGAGGGGGUAGAAUUUCAGGUGUAGCGGUGAAAAUGCGUAGAGAUCUGAAGGAAUACCAGUGGCGAAGGCGGCCCCCUGGACAAAGACUGACGCUCAGAUGCGAAAGCGUGGGGAGCAAACAGGAUUAGAUACCCUGGUAG
Molecule: ribosomal RNA, 472 nt
Filed under: uncultured bacterium
Lineage: Bacteria
Description: bacterial SSU rRNA
Rfam family: Bacterial small subunit ribosomal RNA
Source: RNAcentral